AAGUCCCGCAAGGGAUAAGUAGAGUGGCAAACGGGUGAGUAACACGUGGGUGACCUACCUUCGAGUGGGGGAUAACCUUCCGAAAGGAGGGCUAAUACCGCAUGACAUCCCAUGUUUGGAUACAUGGACAUCAAAGCCGGGGAUCGCAAGACCUGGCGCUUGAAGAGGGACCUGCGCCCGAUUAGCUAGUUGGUGAGGUAACGGCUCACCAAGGCUUCGAUCGGUAUCCGGCCUGAGAGGGCGGACGGACACACUGGAACUGAGACACGGUCCAGACUCCUACGGGAGGCAGCAGUGGGGAAUUGUUCGCAAUGGGCGCAAGCCUGACGACGCAACGCCGCGUGGAGGAUGAAGACUUUCGGG
RNAcentral lists this ribosomal RNA (363 nucleotides) under uncultured bacterium. RNAcentral's name for it is "bacterial SSU rRNA". It matches the Rfam family "Bacterial small subunit ribosomal RNA", at positions 72 to 422 of the family's 1533-position model. The record is from RNAcentral.